Molecule: ribosomal RNA, 1365 nt
Filed under: Triticum aestivum (bread wheat)
Lineage: Eukaryota; Viridiplantae; Streptophyta; Magnoliopsida; Poales; Poaceae
Description: partial small subunit ribosomal RNA
Source: RNAcentral
AUGAGAUUGAGGAGCAUAAAUGGACUGCGGUGCAAGCAGCUUAAACUCGUCCUUCUUGCUUUCUUCGUGAUGUUUAUUCUCUGGAAAUGGGAGGAAGGAACAUACUACAAUACUAAAGAUAUUCAUCCAGAUUCAUUGGUUGUGUCCCAUCCAGCUAACUCAAAGUUUGUAGAUCAGCAUACAUCCUCAGAUGAAGACUUCCCAAGUGUAGAUUCGUUGCCACCGCCAGUAGUUAAAGUACAAAAACAAGUUACCGGCGCACCACCACCACUGCCCAUUGUCGGUGUUCCUGCUAAUGUGGGAGGUGAACAGGGGGCAUCAUCUUCUGAGCCGAAAGAAUGUAACCACAGAAAUGGAAGAUGGGUUCCUGACAAGCGCAGACCACUCUACUCUGGUUUUGGCUGUAAACAGUGGCUUUCUGAGAGCUGGUCCUGCAGAUUGACUCAGCGCACUGAUUUUGAUUACGAACAAUUUAGAUGGCAACCUGAAGCUUGUGAUAUGCCAGAGUUUGAGGCCUCUCAGUUCUUGAUGAGAAUGCAGGGCAAAACCAUUGCUUAUGUGGGCGAUUCUUUAGGGAGGCAGAUGUUUCAGUCCAUGAUGUGUAUGGCUACUGCUGGAGAAGAGCGGGCAGACGUGGAAGAUGUCGGUGCGGAGUACGGGUUUGUCUUAGCACCAGGCGCAAAAAGACCAGAUGGCUGGGCUUACCGGUUCCCGAGCACCAACACGACCAUUCUAUACCAUUGGUCGUCGACGCUAUGUGAUCUGGAGCCUCUGAAUCCAUCAGAUCCAGCCACCAGCUACGCCAUGCACCUCGACCGCCCACCUGCUUUCGUGCAGGACAACCUCCACAGGAUCCACGUUCUGGUCCUCAACACCGGCCACCACUGGAACCGGGGCAAGCUAAGGGCAAACAAGUGGGAGAUGUACGUCGGCGGAUCCCCGAACCACAACAAGAACAUCGCCGCCAUCUGGAAGGCCAAGAACUUCACCAUCCACAGCGUCAUCAAGUGGCUGGACGCGCAGCUCCCCCGCCACCCCCACCUGAAGGCCUUCUACCGAUCCAUAUCGCCCCGGCAUUUCUUCAACGGGGACUGGGACACCGGCGGCAGCUGUGACAGCACGAGCCCUCUGGCCAAGGGCAGCGGGAUCUCCCAGAACCGCUCCGAGGAUGCCGACGCCGAGGGCGCGGUGAUGGGGACCAGGGUCAGGCUGCUGGAUGUCACCGCUCUGUCGCGCCUGAGGGACGAAGGGCACAUAUCACGGUACAGCAUCAAGGCCACACAGGGGAUCCAGGACUGCCUGCACUGGUGCCUCCCCGGCGUGCCGGACACGUGGAACGAGAUCCUCGCGGCCCAGUUGUUAUAG